CUACGUGCCAGCAGCCGCGGUAAUACGUAGGUCCCGAGCGUUGUCCGGAUUUAUUGGGCGUAAAGCGAGCGCAGGCGGUUAGAUAAGUCUGAAGUUAAAGGCUGUGGCUUAACCAUAGUACGCUUUGGAAACUGUUUAACUUGAGUGCAAGAGGGGAGAGUGGAAUUCCAUGUGUAGCGGUGAAAUGCGUAGAUAUAUGGAGGAACACCGGUGGCGAAAGCGGCUCUCUGGCUUGUAACUGACGCUGAGGCUCGAAAGCGUGGGGAGCAAACAGGAUUAGAUACCCUGGUAGUCCACGCCGUAAACGAUGAGUGCUAGGUGUUAGACCCUUUCCGGGGUUUAGUGCCGCAGCUAACGCAUUAAGCACUCCGCCUGGGGAGUACGACCGCAAGGUUGAAACUCAAAGGAAUUGACGGGGGCCCGCACAAGCGGUGGAGUAUGUGGUUUAAUUCGACGCAACGCGAAGAACCUUACCAGGUCUUGACAU
This 487-nucleotide ribosomal RNA is filed under the name uncultured bacterium. RNAcentral describes it as "bacterial SSU rRNA". It matches the Rfam family "Bacterial small subunit ribosomal RNA", at positions 501 to 987 of the family's 1533-position model. The record is from RNAcentral.